GGUAACGGACCGCUGUGAUCCCUUCGGGGUGAACUUGGUGCCGACGAGUGGCGGACGGGUGAGUAAUACUUAGGAAUCUGCCCAGUAGUGGGGGACAACACGGGGAAACUCGUGCUAAUACCGCAUACACCCUAAGGGGAAAAGUGGGGGAUCUUCGGACUUCACGCUAUUGGAUGAGCCUAAGGCGGAUUAGCUUGUUGGUGGGGUAAUGGCCUACCAAGGCAACUAUCCGUAGCUGGUCUGAGAGGACGAUCAGCCCCACUGGGACUGAGACACGGCCCAGACUCCUACGGGGGGCAGCAGUGGGGAAUAUUGGACAAUGGGGGCAACCCUGAUCCAGCAAUACCGCGUGUGUGAAGAAGGCCUGCGGGUUGUAAAGCACUUUCAGUAGAGAAGAAAAAACCAGAGGUUAAUACCCUCCGGUCUUGACGUAACCUACAGAAGAAGCACCGGCUAACUCCGUGCCAGCAGCUGCGGUAAUACGGGGGGUGCAAGCGUUAAUCGGAAUUACUGGGCGUAAAGUGCGCGUAGGCGGUCUGGUCAGUCGGAUGUGAAAGCCCUGGGCUCAACCUGGGAAUGGCAUUCGAUACUGCCCGACUAGAAUGUGGGGGAGGCAAGUGGAAUUUCCGGUGUAGCGGUGAAAUGCGUAGAUAUCGGAAGGAACACCAGUGGCGAAGGCGGCUUGCUGGCCCAACAUUGACGCUCAGGUGCGAAAGCGUGGGGGGCGAACAGGAUUAGAUACCCUGGUAGUCCCCGCCGUAAACGAUGAGA
This 771-nucleotide ribosomal RNA is filed under the name uncultured bacterium. RNAcentral describes it as "bacterial SSU rRNA". It matches the Rfam family "Bacterial small subunit ribosomal RNA", at positions 60 to 814 of the family's 1533-position model. The record is from RNAcentral.